Long non-coding RNA from Rhincodon typus (whale shark), 1680 nucleotides. RefSeq lists it as uncharacterized. NCBI's taxonomy places the organism in Eukaryota, Metazoa, Chordata, Chondrichthyes, Orectolobiformes, Rhincodontidae. The transcript is spliced from 2 exons. The record is from RefSeq and is a predicted model, not a curated record.
CCGGCGGAUCCAAGAUGGCGGCGUUUACCAGAAACUGCUCCCGGAGAAGAUUCGAAGUUGGAAACCAAUGCAAACAUCCAUUGAGGAUAAAUGCAAAAAUAUGGUGGAUUUGGAAAACUGAAAUAAAAAUGGAACAUCUGAAGAAACUGAGCAGGUCUGGUUGUAUCUGAAGAGAAAGCAAAACAGUGUUAAAAUUUCAAGUUCGUUAUGACUCUUCUUUAGAACAGGAUCUGAUGGAAUCUCCCAAUUUAUCACAACCUGAACAUCUUCAUUUUUAAUAUAGAAGGAAAAAGCACCGUUUGUAAUGGAGAGAAACUGUAUGUGUGUUGUGUGUGUGAGUAAGGGUCCAGACAGUCAUCAGGCCUAAUAAAACAAAAGUGCAAUCAUGCUGGAGAGAAACUGUGGAAAAAUGGGGACUGCGAGGGGCCAUUUAGUUACAUUUCUGAUCUGGAAAUUAACGAAAUUCACCAACAUGCUAACACUGAGAAAUGGUUAUUUAUCUGCUCCACAUGUGGGAAGGGAUUCACUCAAUCAUCCAUGUUGCUGAGGCACCAGCAAGUUCACACUGAUCCUUUCAAAUGCCAAGAUUGUGGGAAUGGCUACAAACUUUCCAGCAAACUGAUGCCCCAUCUACUUGUUCACACUGAUGAGAGACCCUUUAAAUGCUCAGUUUGUGGGAAGGGUUUUUAAAUUUCUGGGGAACUAUUACAUCACUGAAGUGUUCAUAAUGAAGAGAGACAGUUCAAGUGCUCUCGCUAUGGGACUGGGUUCAGCCAUCCAUAUGAUCUCCAUGCACAUCAGAGAAUUCACACUGGGGAGAGGCCAUUCACUUGCACCGAGUGUGGAAAAGGACUUACUCGGACAUCCAGCCUGCUGAAACACCAGUGGGCUCACACUGAGGAAAGGCCAUAUAAAGUUCACUGAGCUGAUGUCCUAUCAGCAUGCUUACUCUGAGGAGAGACUAUUCAGGUAUUUCACUGUGGGACUGGGUUCAGAUGGUCAUCUGACCUCCAAGGACACUAGUGAAUUCACGCUGGAGAGAGGCCAUUCACUUGUACUGAAUAUGGGAAGGAACUGUCUUGGUCAUUUUACCUCAUAACGUAUCAGCAAGCUCACACUGUGGAGAGGCUGUUCGCCUGCUCAAUGUGUGUGAAGGGAUGCACUCAGUCCUGCCAGCUCAUGGUACACCAGCAAGGACACAGUGAGGAGAGACAUUUCAAAUAGCAGCCUGUGAUCGGUGCUAUAAAAGUUCAGAGGGUCUAUUGUCCCAUCAACAUGUUCACACGAAUGAGAGACCAUUCAAAUGUUCGGUUUUUGGGGACUGCUUUAAGAGUUCUGGAGAUCUGAUGCAUCAUCAAUGUAUUCACACUGUCAAGAGACUGUUCAAGUGCUCUCAGUGUGGGACAGGGUUCAGACGAUCAUCUGACCUCACUGUACACCAGCGAGAUCACAAUGGGGAGAGACCAUUUACCUGCUCAGUGUAUGAGAAGAGAUUCACUCAGUCAGCUCACCUGCUUUGCCACCAAUUACCUCAACAGUGACUGCAACAGGGGCUUGAUUUUGCUGUUACCACAACUGGAAUGGAGGAAUCUUCAUGAGGGUCAAUUUAUGGUGAUGUUUAGCUCAGUCACAAACGCUAAUAUUUGGCAAUAUAGUCAAAUAAAUCAGUUUUGUGUUCAA